RNAcentral lists this long non-coding RNA (258 nucleotides) under Lathyrus oleraceus (garden pea). RNAcentral describes it as "Pisum sativum (pea) long non-coding RNA (PSAT_LNC022066)". Lineage: Eukaryota; Viridiplantae; Streptophyta; Magnoliopsida; Fabales; Fabaceae. The record is from RNAcentral.
UAUUAAUUUUGAUUUGGAAACUUCUUAUCUUUGGGUUUGUUCGUACUUUUCCCUUUUCCUUUGAAAAUAAUAAAAGUGCGGCGACGACUCUAGUUUUAUUGAUGUUAAGCUUAUCCAUAACUUGAUGGUCAUAAAUUUACCGCUACAUAGAUCUACCAGCUUCCUUCAGAGAAGGGAAGAAUAUGAGGACAGUGAAUGUAAAUUUCCUCGUAGUUCCUUAUGAAAACGCCUAUAGUGGCCUUCUUCGAAGAUCAUUCA